RNAcentral lists this transfer RNA (83 nucleotides) under Bacillota bacterium. RNAcentral's name for it is "Firmicutes bacterium (gut metagenome) tRNA-Leu". It matches the Rfam family "tRNA". Rfam says of the family: Transfer RNA (tRNA) molecules are approximately 80 nucleotides in length. Lineage: Bacteria; Bacillati; Bacillota. The record is from RNAcentral. RNAcentral also lists the same sequence under 2 other names.
GCGGAUGUGGCGGAAUGGCAGACGCGCUAGCCUUAGGAGCUAGUGUCCUCGACGUGGGGGUUCAAGUCCCUUCAUCCGCACCA